Non-coding RNA from Paramuricea clavata, 718 nucleotides. NCBI's taxonomy places the organism in Eukaryota, Metazoa, Cnidaria, Anthozoa, Malacalcyonacea, Plexauridae. The record is from the annotation of a GenBank genome assembly.
GUUCGAUACUUUAUUGCCUUAUAGAUAGAUAGAUAAAUGCAAUCUUAUUUAUACAGGGUAAUUCCUUCAGUGUAAAAACACUGGUAUGAAUGGAACCUUAAAUAAUUGUCGACUGGGUCUUCGUUUACACCUACAUGCAAUUUGGAUAAAAGUGACUAUAUAUGUAGAGAUAAAUAGCAGAGCCCAGCAAAGGGCUCUGCUCUUUAUCUUCAAACUAAGAUUUCCGCCUGGUGAAAAUUUCAAUUGCCACAUAUAAUUAUGUAGAGCUUUGAAUGCAAACACCAUUCAACAUGAUUUGAGAGACAAGGCCAUAAUUAUGGAGGGAAACACCGUUACGCUUCUAUUUGUUUAUAAGUUGCGAAUAAAUUUGACCCCGAAUUUGUACCAUUUCUUAUAGAUGUGCUAACUACUAGUUACAGGCACCUACCUCCGAAAGCCGAAGUUUGACAUAAUCAACACUACGACGAUAAGGACUUCGAGUAGUAUCAGACGUCCAGACAGCAGAAAUGUCGUCAACCAAACAUUCGAGCUGUUGCAACGCUUUUACUGGUUGAAUGUUAAUAUCAAAGGAAUCUACAUAAAAUCCACUCCACUUCGGAAAAAAUUCUUGAAAGAAUGCUCGUCUGUUAUCCAAUGCAGCUCCAGAAGAAAAAGAUGUUAAUCUAUCCCAUGUAGAUGGUUCAGGAUAUAUAAAUCCAUCGUACUUGUGGAAGGUUUC